Molecule: unclassified non-coding RNA, 379 nt
Filed under: plant metagenome
Description: partial contains 5.8S ribosomal RNA, internal transcribed spacer 2, and large subunit ribosomal RNA
Rfam family: 5.8S ribosomal RNA (bases 1-106)
Source: RNAcentral
GAAAUGCGAUAAGUAAUGUGAAUUGCAGAAUUCAGUGAAUCAUCGAAUCUUUGAAACGCACCUUGCGCUCCUUGGUAUUCCUUGGAGCAUGCCUGUUUGAGUAUCAUGAAAUCUUCAAAGUAAAUCUUUUGUUAACUCAAUUGGUUUCUACUUUGGUAUUGGAGGUCUUUGCAGCUUCACACCUGCUCCUCUUUGUUCAUUAGCUGGAUCUCAGUGUUAUGCUUGGUUCCACUCGGCGUGAUAAGUUAUCUAUCGCUGAGGACACUGUAAAAGGUGGCCAAGGUAAAUGCAGACGAACCGCUUCUAAUAGUCCAUUGACUUGGACAAUACUUUUAUGAUCUGAUCUCAAAUCAGGUAGGACUACCCGCUGAACUUAAGC